Molecule: ribosomal RNA, 1373 nt
Filed under: uncultured bacterium
Lineage: Bacteria
Description: bacterial SSU rRNA
Rfam family: Bacterial small subunit ribosomal RNA
Source: RNAcentral
GAUGAACGCUGGCGGCGUGCCUAAUACAUGCAAGUCGAGCGAACGGACGAGAAGCUUGCUUCUCUGAUGUUGGCGGCGGACGGGUGAGUAACACGUGGAUAACCUACCUAUAAGACUGGGAUAACUUCGGGAAACCGGAGCUAAUACCGGAUAAUAUUUUGAACCGCAUGGUUCAAAAGUGAAAGACGGUCUUGCUGUCACUUAUAGAUGGAUCCGCGCUGCAUUAGCUAGUUGGUAAGGUAACGGCUUACCAAGGCAACGAUGCAUAGCCGACCUGAGAGGGUGAUCGGCCACACUGGAACUGAGACACGGUCCAGACUCCUACGGGAGGCAGCAGUAGGGAAUCUUCCGCAAUGGGCGAAAGCCUGACGGAGCAACGCCGCGUGAGUGAUGAAGGUCUUCGGAUCGUAAAACUCUGUUAUUAGGGAAGAACAUAUGUGUAAGUAACUGUGCACAUCUUGACGGUACCUAAUCAGAAAGCCACGGCUAACUACGUGCCAGCAGCCGCGGUAAUACGUAGGUGGCAAGCGUUAUCCGGAAUUAUUGGGCGUAAAGCACGCGUAGGCGGUUUUUUAAGUCUGAUGUGAAAGCCCACGGCUCAACCGUGGAGGGUCAUUGGAAACUGGAAAACUUGAGUGCAGAAGAGGAAAGUGGAAUUCCAUGUGUAGCGGUGAAAUGCGCAGAGAUAUGGAGGAACACCAGUGGCGAAGGCGACUUUCUGGUCUGUAACUGACGCUGAUGUGCGAAAGCGUGGGGAUCAAACAGGAUUAGAUACCCUGGUAGUCCACGCCGUAAACGAUGAGUGCUAAGUGUUAGGGGGUUUCCGCCCCUUAGUGCUGCAGCUAACGCAUUAAGCACUCCGCCUGGGGAGUACGACCGCAAGGUUGAAACUCAAAGGAAUUGACGGGGACCCGCACAAGCGGUGGAGCAUGUGGUUUAAUUCGAAGCAACGCGAAGAACCUUACCAAAUCUUGACAUCCUUUGACAACUCUAGAGAUAGAGCCUUCCCCUUCGGGGGGGCAAAGUGACAGGUGGUGCAUGGUUGUCGUCAGCUCGUGUCGUGAGAUGUUGGGUUAAGUCCCGCAACGAGCGCAACCCUUAAGCUUAGUUGCCAUCAUUAAGUUGGGCACUCUAAGUUGACUGCCGGUGACAAACCGGAGGAAGGUGGGGAUGACGUCAAAUCAUCAUGCCCCUUAUGAUUUGGGCUACACACGUGCUACAAUGGACAAUACAAAGGGCAGCGAAACCGCGAGGUCAAGCAAAUCCCAUAAAGUUGUUCUCAGUUCGGAUUGUGGUCUGCAACUCGACUACAUGAAGCUGGAAUCGCUAGUAAUCGUAGAUCAGCAUGCUACGGUGAAUACGUUCCCGGGUCU